Molecule: long non-coding RNA, 682 nt
Filed under: Coccomyxa subellipsoidea
Lineage: Eukaryota; Viridiplantae; Chlorophyta; Trebouxiophyceae; Coccomyxaceae
Description: long non-coding RNA (CSUB_LNC000602)
Source: RNAcentral
UCUUCGAUUUCUCGCGGGCUGACCUCUUCAGCUGCUGGGGCGUUGGCUGCCAUCAGGAUGCUUCGAUGUCUGCUGCGCUGUGAUCCAUGGACCCUGAUUGGAAGUGAGCAGUACAACCCUGCAGCCCAAAGUAUGGCUACCUCAAGGUCAGUGCAGGCGGUUCAUGAUUAAAAAGCACGUAAUGUAUUUUCCCUGGUACACUCAUGGCUGCAGCAGUACUUCAUACGUCCCGUCAGCUUUCCUCGCCAGCAAACGCUUGCAGGCAUUCACUGUCUGGUAGCAGCGAAACUAUGUCACAGAAGUAGCACCUGAUCGUUGGAAAUAAUUUUUGGUUUGACGAUGACUAGAUCGUCGCAACGGUAUGGCCGAGCCAGGCGUACAACAGCUUGUAUACAACCCCAUGCCUUUGGCCAUGCCCAUCAGGUCUUUGGCUGACAGUCCUUUUAGAGAUCACGAUGUACACAAAGUCAAGCCUUCACAUUCGACAAUUCUAAGUACUUCAGAGCAUUGAAGAACUCUGACGCCGCUCUUACAGACUCGUCUGAACACUUGGAAGGCUCCCUAAGGCGUGCAGCAGAGUGUUCAAUGCUUGCAGGCAUGCAGCAAGAAGAAAGUAAACCUCGCCUCCGUUAAUUGAAAGGAUGAAUCUUGAUUGGAAAGAAUUCUUGAGCAUGGAUGCAAG